UACCGUUCAUACUUUUACCAUUUAGAUUUUUUUAAGAAAUUUAGAACUUAAUCUUUCACGGAAUCUUUUUGGUCUUUUUCGGAGUAACGAACCAAUGAUCUCUAAAUGCGCAGGUAUCCUUCUGUUGAUCAACAGCAUGCGGCAGCUGUUCAAAUCGUAAAAUUAUUUCCACAACUUAGUAAUACGCGAGUCACACCAACUGCUCCUGAUGAGUCAUUUUUCUUUUGGCGCAACGGAGGCAAGGAAAAGGGUGCUCAUACUGGCAUGAUAUUUCAUCGCAUCCGGAAUGUCAUCAAACAGCUACCUGCAGAAAAACAUAAAUAUAAUCGAGGAACUAUGCCUGUAGAAGAGUCCGUUUCAACUGAACUUGUAGAGCGGGCUCAAUUGCUCCGAGUAAUGCUUGCAUCGGCAUCAGUAGCAGAACAUAUUUGUGAUGAAAUGGACCGAUGCUUUCCAGUCCUCAAACUGUUAUUAAAAGAAAAGAAACCCGUUAAUGAUAUCUUGGAUAUGUUUCCACACCUGUGUUCAUAUGAAGGAUUGGUGGUAACAUGUUUAUUUUUUAUUAUUUACUAUUUCACUUUAUGGUAUUCACGGAACAUAUGAAUAUUUAUAUCAUAUCACUUUUUCUAGAUUCGUCAAAUGUUUGAGAGAUUGUAUCCUAACAGAACAGAAGGUCUCAAAAUCGAGGAUGUCUUCUCUCAGUGUCUAUCUUAUUCACCGUCCAGAUUCUCUAGAGUAGAAGAUGGUGAGAUAUAAUUUUUUUUAAUUUAGCCCAAAGGUCUGUCAUAAAAUUUUAAAUUUGUAAAACUAUUCACAGAUCACAUUCGAGGAUGCUUGAGAAUAAUUUCUCAUAUGCCAAUUCGCGGACAAAAAAGAACGCUGGUAGGCUGUCCAACUGUAGGCGAAGAACAUUCGGCUUCAAUUUUAAUUCGUUGGAUUGGGGAGUGCUUAGAUACAUACGUGGCAUCCCCCGCAACUGAUUCCAAACUACACAUGGUGUGCGUAGCAAGCCCGAUGAAAAGAGGAAAUUAUGCCGUCAUUUGUGAGAAAAAAGUUAUAUUCGAGACUAACAAUUCUAUUCAUGCAGUGGAAAUUUUAUUCAAAUGCCACGCAGUUCUCGGAGUGGAGGUGCCACCUAAUUUUAGAAUGUUUUGGGACUUUCUGGCAUGUGCCAUAUAUAAUAUAAUUCCGCACAGUCAGAGGACAACUGUGAAUAGACUCGUCCAAACUUUUAUUGAAGUUUCCCGCGCACGUAUUGACAACAAAUAAAAGGACAACUUUUUUAUACAAUACUUACUAAAAACCAUAAAAUUUAAUAAACAG
Molecule: long non-coding RNA, 1323 nt
Organism: Topomyia yanbarensis
Lineage: Eukaryota; Metazoa; Arthropoda; Insecta; Diptera; Culicidae
Exons: 3
Source: RefSeq, a predicted model, not a curated record